AUGGCGGCGUUGGUCACCGCCGUGCUGUGCCUGACGACGAGCCGCGCGCAGGGGCAGCUGCAGGUGGGUUUUUACAGCACCACCUGCCCCAACGCCGAGGCCAUCGUCCGGCAGGCCGUCACAGCGGCCUUCGCCAACGACCCCGGCGUUGCCGCCGAGCUCAUUCGGCUCCACUUCCACGACUGUUUCGUCGAGCGGCGGCCAGACGGAGCGCGAUGCACCGCCGAACAACCCCAGCCUCCAUGGCUUCCAGGUUGUCGAUGCGGCCAGAGCCGCCCUAGAACAGAGCUGCCCACGCACCGUGUCAUGUGCCGAUAUCCUAGCGUUCGCCGCCCGGGACAGUGUCAACCUCACCGGGUCCCCGCGGGCCGCCACGAUGGGAGCAUCUCGACUAACGGCAGCGCGUUUGGCCUCCCUAGUCCAAACUUGACCGCGGAUGGGCUCAUACAAAGUUUCAAAAACAAGAGUCUGACUGCUGAAGAGAUGGUGAUACCAUCCGGCGCCCACACAUUGGACCGCUCGCACUGUGACUCCUUCAUUUUCAAGAACCGCGAGAGGCUGAUGAGCGGCACCAUUAGCCCGACAUACCAAGCGUUGUUGGAGGCACUGUGCCCGACGAACGCGGUCCAGGUCACAAAUGUGACGACGAUGAUCGACCUCAGCACGCCAACGGUACUGGACAACAACUAUGAGUGCCUCGAGCGCAAUGCCAUGCUCAAGGCCUCCGUCGCCAACGAGACGCUCCGGAAGGAGAAGUUCAUUGCCGCCAUGAUUAAGAUGGGCAAGAUCGAGCCCAAGACCGGCACGCAGGGGGAGAUCCGCCUCAAUUGUAGCUUCAUCAGUCCGCCGUCAUCAUCGUUUGCCUCCGCAAGGGCGAUCGAGAUGCUUCACCCGAGCUCCAACAACAAUGCCCCCCGCUGGCGACGAGAUCAGCACGGGCUGAUGCAUAUUAUGUACCGUGUACAAGUAGUGAGUAUGUACACGCACUCACGUUCGUACCCUCAUACGUUAGAACGUGUGUAA
This 1023-nucleotide ribosomal RNA is filed under the name Triticum aestivum (bread wheat). RNAcentral describes it as "partial small subunit ribosomal RNA". Lineage: Eukaryota; Viridiplantae; Streptophyta; Magnoliopsida; Poales; Poaceae. The record is from RNAcentral.